RNAcentral lists this unclassified non-coding RNA (196 nucleotides) under uncultured Trechisporales. RNAcentral's name for it is "sequence contains ITS1". Lineage: Eukaryota; Fungi; Basidiomycota; Agaricomycetes; Trechisporales. The record is from RNAcentral.
UUGAAACUUCAUGGGGGAGCGGGACUCGGCCUGCACCGGUGGCGACGCCGUGCUGCGGCUGGGAUCCGCGCCCUCUUCCAAACCCAAACACCUGUGAACCUUUGGGAGGGCGGCUGUAGUGGCCUGCCCGCCCCGUUUUAACAACUCUGAUGUCUAUUUGAAUGUGUGUCGGGACUUACCCGAUUUAAAAUUGAAA